AGAGUUUGAUCAUGGCUCAGAACGAACGCUGGCGGCAGGCCUAACACAUGCAAGUCGAGCGCGCCUUCGGGUGAGCGGCGGACGGGUUAGUAACGCGUGGGAACGUGCCCUUCUCUACGGAAUAGCCUCUGGAAACGGAGAGUAAUACCGUAUACGCCCUUUGGGGGAAAGAUUUAUCGGAGAAGGAUCGGCCCGCGUUAGAUUAGGUAGUUGGUGGGGUAACGGCCUACCAAGCCUACGAUCUAUAGCUGGUUUUAGAGGAUGAUCAGCAACACUGGGACUGAGACACGGCCCAGACUCCUACGGGAGGCAGCAGUGGGGAAUCUUAGACAAUGGGGGCAACCCUGAUCUAGCCAUGCCGCGUGAGUGAUGAAGGCCUUAGGGUCGUAAAGCUCUUUCGCCUGUGAUGAUAAUGACAGUAGCAGGUAAAGAGACCCCGGCUAACUCCGUGCCAGCAGCCGCGGUAAUACGGAGGGGGUUAGCGUUGUUCGGAAUUACUGGGCGUAAAGCGCGCGUAGGCGGAUUAGAAGGUUGGGGGUGAAAUCCCGGGGCUCAACCCCGGAACUGCCUCCAAAACUACUAGUCUAGAGUUCGAGAGAGGUGAGUGGAAUUCCGAGUGUAGAGGUGAAAUUCGUAGAUAUUCGGAGGAACACCAGUGGCGAAGGCGGCUCACUGGCUCGAUACUGACGCUGAGGUGCGAAAGUGUGGGGAGCAAACAGGAUUAGAUACCCUGGUAGUCCACACCGUAAAC
Molecule: ribosomal RNA, 751 nt
Filed under: uncultured Phaeobacter sp.
Lineage: Bacteria; Pseudomonadati; Pseudomonadota; Alphaproteobacteria; Rhodobacterales; Roseobacteraceae
Description: bacterial SSU rRNA
Rfam family: Bacterial small subunit ribosomal RNA
Source: RNAcentral